UAAGAUAUCAUGCAAUGUGAGAUUUAUAUAUAAGAAAUGUAUUUUUUGGGGUUUGUUGUUAGGAAUUAUUAUAUCAUAUUUGUUUAUGAUAAAAAGGUGAGAGUUAGCCUUGGGAUGACAGGAAAGGGAGUAGUGGAAAAGGGAUUUAGCGGUCUUGGUUCUCUCUGAAGAAGUAGCCUUAAAUCAAGCCAAAUGAAGGAAAAUAAUUCUUAUGGCCAAUCCUAAUGAGUUUUGGAUCAAG
RNAcentral lists this unclassified non-coding RNA (241 nucleotides) under Hevea brasiliensis (rubber tree). The record is from RNAcentral. Lineage: Eukaryota; Viridiplantae; Streptophyta; Magnoliopsida; Malpighiales; Euphorbiaceae.